AAGCGUUGUUCGGAAUUACUGGGCGUAAAGGGCSCSUARGCGGCCUUGUAAGUCUCGUGUGAAAGCCCUCGGCUUAACUGAGGAUCUGCACGGGAUACUGCGAGGCUUGAGUUCGGGAGAGGAAAGCGGAAUUCCGGGUGUAGCGGUGAAAUGCGUAGAUAUCCGGAGGAACACCAGUGGCGAAGGCGGCUUUCUGGACCGACACUGACGCGGAGUGCGCGAAAGCUAGGGGAGCAAACGGGAUUAGAUACCCCGGUAGUCCUAGCUGUAAACGAUGAUCGCUGGGUGUGGGGGGUUUUUACUCCCUCCGUGCCGAAGCUAACGCAUUAAGUGAUCCGYCUGGGGAWUACGGUCGCRAGGCUG
This 363-nucleotide ribosomal RNA is filed under the name uncultured bacterium. RNAcentral's name for it is "bacterial SSU rRNA". It matches the Rfam family "Bacterial small subunit ribosomal RNA", at positions 536 to 896 of the family's 1533-position model. The record is from RNAcentral.